RNAcentral lists this transfer RNA (43 nucleotides) under Draco maculatus. RNAcentral describes it as "partial tRNA-Ala". Lineage: Eukaryota; Metazoa; Chordata; Lepidosauria; Squamata; Agamidae. The record is from RNAcentral.
UAAAGCCUGCAAGACUUCACUCACAUCACCCGAAUGCAACUCA